CAUGCAAGUCGAGCGGUAACAGAAAGUAGCUUGCUACUUUGCUGACGAGCGGCGGACGGGUGAGUAAUGCUUGGGAAUAUGCCUUUACGUGGGGGACAACAGUUGGAAACGACUGCUAAUACCGCAUAAUGUCUUCGGACCAAAGGAGGGGACUCUUCGGAGCCUUUCGCGUAUUGAUUAGCCCAAGUGGGAUUAGCUAGUUGGUGAGGUAAUGGCUCACCAAGGCGACGAUCCCUAGCUGGUUUGAGAGGAUGAUCAGCCACACUGGGACUGAGACACGGCCCAGACUCCUACGGGAGGCAGCAGUGGGGAAUAUUGCACAAUGGGCGAAAGCCUGAUGCAGCCAUGCCGCGUGUGUGAAGAAGGCCUUCGGGUUGUAAAGCACUUUCAGUUGUGAGGAAGAGGUAAAGGUUAAUACUCUUUAUCUUUGACGUUAGCAACAGAAGAAGGACCGGCUAACUCCGUGCCAGCAGCCGCGGUAAUACGGAGGGUCCGAGCGUUAAUCGGAAUUACUGGGCGUAAAGCGUACGCAGGCGGCUUGUUAAGCCAGAUGUGAAAUCCCCGGGCUCAACCUGGGAAUGGCAUUUGGAACUGGCAAGCUAGAGUUUUGUAGAGGGUGGUAGAAUUUCAGGUGUAGCGGUGAAAUGCGUAGAGAUCUGAAGGAAUACCAGUGGCGAAGGCGGCCACCCUGGACAGAUACUGACACUCAUGUGCGAAAGCGUGGGGAGCAAACAGGAUUAGAUACCCUGGUAGUCCACGCCGUAAACGAUGUCUACUAGGUGUCUGUGACCUUGAGUCGUGGCUAUCGGAGCUAACGCGUUAAGUAGACCGCCUGGGGAGUACGGUCGCAAGAUUAAAACUCAAAUGAAUUGACGGGGGCCCGCACAAGCGGUGGAGCAUGUGGUUUAAUUCGAUGCAACGCGAAGAACCUUACCUACUCUUGACAUCCAGAGAACUUUUCAGAGAUUCAUUGGUGCCUUCGGGAACUCUGAGACAGGUGCUGCAUGGCUGUCGUCAGCUCGUGUUGUGAAAUGUUGGGUUAAGUCCCGCAACGAGCGCAACCCUUAUCCUUGUUUGCCAGCACGUAAUGGUGGGAACUCCAGGGAGACUGCCGGUGAUAAACCGGAGGAAGGUGGGGACGACGUCAAGUCAUCAUGGCCCUUACGAGCAGGGCUACACACGUGCUACAAUGGCGCAUACAGAGGGAUGCCAACCAGCGAUGGCGAGCGAAUCCCAAAAAGCAUGUCGUAGUCCGGAUUGGAGUCUGCAACUCGACUCCAUGAAGUCGGAAUCGCUAGUAAUCGUAGAUCAGAAUGCUACGGUGAAUACGUUCCCGGGCCUUGUACACACCGCCCGUCACACCAUGGGAGUGGGCUGCAAAAGAAGUGGGUAGUUUAACCUUCGGGAGGACGCU
RNAcentral lists this ribosomal RNA (1414 nucleotides) under Agarivorans sp. WA146. Its description in RNAcentral is "16S ribosomal RNA". It matches the Rfam family "Bacterial small subunit ribosomal RNA". The record is from RNAcentral. Lineage: Bacteria; Pseudomonadati; Pseudomonadota; Gammaproteobacteria; Alteromonadales; Alteromonadaceae.